GCCAGCUACUCGCUUCCUGCCGCUCGCCGCUGCCAUGCUGCCCGCCGCGCUGCUCCGCCGCCCGGGACUUGGCCGCCUCGUCCGCCACGCCCGUGCCUAUGCCGAGGCCGCCGCCGCCCCGGCUGCCGCCUCUGGCCCCAACCAGAUGUCCUUCACCUUCGCCUCUCCCACGCAGGUUCGGGCGCUGCGGGUCGGGACCCUCCGUGGCCGCCGCCCCCGGAGUCCAGGGUCCCCACCCCCAGGGCGCGACCCCCGCUUCCGGGCCCCCGGACCCGCGCGCCCCGGAAGCCGAGGCUACUCAGCCCUGGACCCUCGGCCCUGCCUCUGCUGCCCGACCCCUGCGCUGCCCUCGUCCCGGGCACCUCCCCGAGAUAAGCGUCUCCUGGGUGCCCUCCCCGAUCUCCCUGGCCAAAGCCUGGGUGUCGCCGGAUCGUUGCAUUCCCAUUUCGCGGAUCAGUAGAAUGAGGCGCAACUGUUGAGGACCAAAGCUGCAACUUCGGAUCCCUGCGCUGGGUUGUCUCAGUGCCUCACAUCAGCGCCAGGUCCUGCCCUGACCCAUGUCUUAGCAGGACAGGCCGAGUCCCCGGUGGGCGCGGGGCCGGCCUGCCCCGCCAUCAUUCCCCACGCUGUUGUCUGCAGGUGUUCUUCAACGGUGCCAACGUCCGGCAGGUGGACGUGCCCACGCUGACCGGAGCCUUCGGCAUCCUGGCGGCCCACGUGCCCACGCUGCAGGUCCUGCGGCCGGGGCUGGUCGUGGUGCAUGCAGAGGACGGCACCACCUCCAAAUACUUUGUGAGCAGCGGUUCCAUUGCAGUGAACGCCGACUCUUCGGUGCAGUUGUUGGCCGAAGAGGCCGUGACGCUGGACAUGUUGGACCUGGGGGCAGCCAAGGCGAACUUGGAGAAGGCCCAGGCGGAGCUGGUGGGGACAGCGGACGAGGCCACGCGGGCAGAGAUCCAGAUCCGAAUCGAGGCCAACGAGGCCCUGGUGAAGGCCCUGGAGUAGGCGGUGCGUACCCGGUGUCCCGAGGCCCGGCUAGGGGCUGGGCAGGGAUGCCAGGUGGGCCCAGCCAGCUCCUGGGGUCCCGGCCACCUGGGGAAGCCGCGCCUGCCAAGGAGGCCACCAGAGGGCAGUGCAGGCUUCUGCCUGGGCCCCAGGCCCUGCCUGUGUUGAAAGCUCUGGGGACUGGGCCAGGGAAGCUCCUCCUCAGCUUUGAGCUGUGGCUGCCACCCAUGGGGCUCUCCUUCCGCCUCUCAAGAUCCCCCCAGCCUGACGGGCCGCAUACCAUCCCCUCUGCCCUGCAGAGCCAGCCGCCAAGGUUGACCUCAGCUUCGGAGCCACCUCUGGAUGAACUGCCCUCAGCCCCCGCACCAUUAAAGACCCGGAAGCCUGA
RNAcentral lists this small RNA (1393 nucleotides) under Pan troglodytes (chimpanzee). RNAcentral describes it as "retained intron". The record is from RNAcentral. Lineage: Eukaryota; Metazoa; Chordata; Mammalia; Primates; Hominidae.